ACCUAAACCCGACAGCAGCGAAAAUCCUUUUUGUUUGCAGCAGCCUUAAAUGGCCUUUCAUCUGCAGCCUAUGAGCAGAUCCUUCGUACCUCAGGAUGACAGGACCACAAAAAGAUUGCAGCGUAUGGCAGGACUACCG
RNAcentral lists this small RNA (139 nucleotides) under Pedobacter sp. AK013. RNAcentral's name for it is "Flavo-1 RNA". It matches the Rfam family "Flavo-1 RNA". Lineage: Bacteria; Pseudomonadati; Bacteroidota; Sphingobacteriia; Sphingobacteriales; Sphingobacteriaceae. The record is from RNAcentral.